AGCCAGGUUUCUUUGUGGAAUUAUGCAGGUGUUAUUGUUUGAACUUUAGCCAUGUCUCUUUUCAUUGUCCAACUUUUCCUUCUAUCUGGCUAGAGGAAAAAGACAUUCUUGUCCUGAGAAUCACAAGAAAGGUACAGAGCACAAACCAGGUACAGAGCUGACUUUAUACCUUUAGUACUCAUGAGAAGGAAACUGUCUUAGGACAUUUGCAUUUCUGUAUCAGUAAUCAUGAAGACUGGCAGGAGCACAGCUUCCUAUCAUCCUACUCCCACUUCAGCCAAAUGAGAGCUCUUAAGCUACCUUAAUUGUGGGUCUAAUUCUGCUUCCAGGUCUAUUUUGGACUUCAAAAGGGCUUAAUGAAAAGUAAGUGGUGAGGACAGACACUUAGCAAUGAAGUGAUCUGUAAACUCUUGUACGUGACAAGUAACCAUUGCCACUGGCACAAGCAAAUACAGUCCAAGAGGAAAUUACAAAGUUGGUGGUAGUAGCUGUCUAAAAUUAUAAAGGAAGGAUAACCAGAUGAAAUGCAUAUAAAUACAAACAAUUUGAAUACUCUUGAUUUUAUACUCAAACACACAAUUACAUGUCCUUGGUUAUUUUGUAGCAGACAAGUUGGUGCCAGAGUAGUCACUAAUCUGUUAUAAUAAAUUUUACUUCUAAAAGCUUGUAAUAGCCUCUCACAGUAAAGUGUAGUGGUGAUUUGAAUUUCACUUUGUGUAUUCUGUAGUUAUGAAGAGUAUGUUUCUCUGCUUAUGAACAAAUCUCUAGAAAGGGUGUGAGAUGAAAGUGAUUUGACUGGCAAGGAAGAGGGAGCCCAGUUCAAUGAAACUGUAGGCAUUCCCUAUGUACAGGUUGAUAUGGGAGAUGCUGUGGCUGAAGGAGGAGGAAGCAAAGAUAGUUAAAAAAUUAUUGAGGUUAUUAACAAGGUUGUGGUAACUGCUGUUGUUAACUAAAAUGGAAGUUAAUAGUAGAGUCUGGAUAAGGAGUCCGAAACCACUGAAUAUUACGGUUUUAGAAGUGGAAUAGAUGCAGCCACCAUAAUUUCUAAUGGCUCUAUAGACAGCACCACUGAUUAAUAAGAGCUGUUUUCUUUUUGCUCCAUUUUUUUUUUUUUUAAACAGAAAACUGUAGGAGUUGCAGGCUGUUCUGCUCUAAUAGCCCGGUGCUUGAUCAUUUGUUCCAUUACAGCAUAGUACAGAGUUGAGGAGUGGUUUUAUUGUUUAAGGACCAAUAGUGAUGCAGUAUUCAUCUUCUACCUAACCUAAAUCCCCAUAAAAAUUGGCUAGAUCACUUAAUAUUGAUUUGAGCCCAAUAAAUGUCUGUCAUGUGCCUAAACAAACCAUGUGAAAUUGUGAACAUGAAAGCAACUGCCAUGGUGAGACUUGCUUUCCCAUGGCUUUGUAUCUUGACCACAACACCUUUGGUUGCCUCAGAAGUCUUUUAUGUGAUGGUAAUGCAAUACAUGUAUUUUAUGUCCCAUGCCCUCCGCUCUUUCACUAAACACGCUCUUUCACUUUCACUUUCACUUCUUUUAAGCUCACAAUUCCUUGCAAGGUUGUGCUCUUCUUUCUGUGCUCCCCAUCCCAAUACAGAAGUGCCAGCUGACCACUCUCCUCAGUCUUCAGAUGCUGCAGUAUCUGUAGCCAACUCUCCUGCACCCAGUAAUGCAUCCUGACAUGCAUUACUGCACAAGAGAGCACAUGUGUGUUGUGGUGAUUUAAGUGUCUCCUGGAUCUUGGCUGCUGGUCUCAAGGGUAAGAGUAACUCCCAGGAUGAAGGUUGUACGGGCCUGUAGGCAAUGAGUAGCUGUCAGAUGUGUGGUUCUGCUCAGAUUUGUAGAAAUAGGCCAAGGGAGGCAGGAAGUCCUCAGAUACUACAGAUAGCAUGAGUCUGUAAGCAUGGUGUCCAGGCUAGAAGAGUUUGAAGUAACUGCUUUAUCUUGCUUCUUAAAUAGUAUAUGAGAAGCUUGAGACAAACCAACCUACACCAAAAGCUACUAUGAUCACCAGUCCCUUGGGGGUGAUGUGGAGGGGCAGGCUCCAGCUAGCCUGGGGAGAAAACAGUACCAAUGCUCAGCUGGAGUCUGUAUAAACCUGCAGAGGACUAUGGGUGACAUAUCCUUGUGUGGUUAACCCCCGUCUGCACGCUGUGCAGAAGUAUAUCAACUAGGCAUCCAGGCAGACUAACAAAGAAACUCCGCAGCUUAUAUCCCCCCCCACCCCCCCUCCCUCUGGGAUUCUAUCAGUCAGCUACAAUAUAUUGUAAUAGAUAUUUAGGCUAGCGUUGCCCAAUGUAUUACACUCCAUCACACUGGUGUAAACAUCCAUGCACUUACGUGGAAAGAAACUACCUUAGCUCUCUGAAACAAAAGGCCUUGUGAAGUUGCUAAAAUGCAAUUCUCAGAAAGCAUUAGUUGAAGGCAAAUGUUUGAAAUGAGAUCGUGUCUCCAGUGAAGUCACUAGGAGCUCAGCCAUGAGCUUUGGCAGAGCCAGGACAUCACUCUUUGAAGUGUUUCUCUCGGAGGAGUCAAACAUUAUAAGUCCCUUAAUGCUAACACUGGAGACUUCAGAAAUGAGAUUGAGCAAGAUAUUUGGAUGACUGAUGCUUAUUUUUCUGGAUUAUCUGGGAAUAUCUGGUGGGUGUGCUGAGUUUGAGAAGUUAGGUGGAAGAACCAACAUGCAGACUUUCCUGUUUUAAACAAUUUGAAGUCAGGCUAUAACUUUGCUGCAGAUGGAGCUCUUUGCUAGCCAAGGACUUUCAGCACUUCUUUAUAGUUUAAAUAUUUUUUCUAAAGGGGAUAAUUGCUUCCCUGAAGAUGUACUGCAGUAGUAUGGGAUACACUGCGAGGUACAGCACAAACAUUAGCAAGGAUUUGCUUUUGCUUUAUCCAGCUUACCAGUGGUAAAACCACCAUAUUCAGAGUGAAGUGCCAAAAAACCACCAUACCAGCCUGGACUGUAAAGUCUGUGCUUACUACCACUGAAAUAGAAAUGUUGUUACAUGUUUUGGGUCACUUCCGGAAGGUUCCGAGGGCGCCAUCUUGGGUGAGAUGCUUCCCUCAGCAGCACUCAGGGAAGCACAAAAUGGCACCAGGCAGCAAGGCGUGAGGGGAGAAGGGGUGCUCCAGGCUGCAGCCUGUGAGAAAGACCCACAUGGAGCAGGGCAAGAGUGGGGAGGAAGCAGGCUGAGGGAAGCUGGUGUUCUCACUAGCAAACAUAUUUUCACUGGCCACAUGUUAUUAAGCGUUUUACCCAAGUCUGUUUUGCUGGUGAUGGUGCUUGGAAUCGAGUCUAGUGAAGUGCAGUUCUCAAUCCGAUGAAGAAAUUGUUUCUGAAGUUUGGAUUCCAAUCCUUUCCAAAGGCGUGAACUCCUCUGAGGAGAUAAGAGCAUGCCAGCUGUUCUUCGUGACCCUGAAUAUCUCCCCCGGAAUCGCUACUUGGCUGGAGCUCUCCACACAGGACUCACUGAGCAGCUGAACAGGCGAAUGCCCAACUGAGGGGUAAGCCAGCUAUUUCACUCCUAUAACCUGUGAUGCUGAAAUGAAAAUUCCUUGAAAAUGCCAAUUCUUUUAGACUUUAUUAAAUCCUUGCACAAAAUCAGUAGCAUACUGUACUUUUAAGUAGAAUCCAUUUAUGUCAUAGCUAAAUUUAAAAGUCACCAUUUCAAGUCUGUAUCAUGAUUUACACACAGAGUUCCAGGAGAAUGGGGAAAUCUGCCUUAAGCUGUAAUCAAAACCACAAAAGCAAUGGAAAUCUAGAGUAUUAAUAAUUUUGUGUACAACUUUUUGGUCAGACUUUGCAGGCCAGCACACACAAACUCAGUGGAAAUGAAAGUGAACAAACAUACAUCUGAAAUUAUUUUCACGGGUUUCAAACUAGGCCCUUUUGUGAGUUUCUUCCACUAAAUGACUGUGACUAGGAUUCCACUAGGUGAACCAGCUUUAAUAAGUAAAGUUUUCAUCUUUCCCUAGCCAAAAGA
RNA transcript from Phasianus colchicus (ring-necked pheasant), 3978 nucleotides. RefSeq lists it as uncharacterized. NCBI's taxonomy places the organism in Eukaryota, Metazoa, Chordata, Aves, Galliformes, Phasianidae. The record is from RefSeq and is a predicted model, not a curated record.